This 238-nucleotide unclassified non-coding RNA is filed under the name Hydnellum ferrugineum. Its description in RNAcentral is "partial internal transcribed spacer 2". The record is from RNAcentral. Lineage: Eukaryota; Fungi; Basidiomycota; Agaricomycetes; Thelephorales; Thelephoraceae.
AAUUCUCAACUCCCUCGGAUUUUUCUGUCCGCAGGUGAGCUUGGACUUGGAGGUUUUUGCCGGCAUAUGGGCUUUUGUCAAGCCCGCUUGUCCGCUCCUCUCAAAAGUAUUAGCUGCGAGUUGAUCUCGAUAGCCCGACCGGUGUGAUAAAUCCUUACGCCGAAUCGUGCCGUCUUGAGCGACCCUGUCGGAGACCCUCCAGCUCAUAACCGUCCUUACUUGGACAGUCACCUUGAAU